AUUCCGGUUGAUCCUGCCGGAGGCCAUUGCUAUCGGAGUCCGAUUUAGCCAUGCUAGUCGCACGGGUUCAGACCCGUGGCAUAUAGCUCAGUAACACGUGGCCAAACUACCCUACAGACCGCGAUAACCUCGGGAAACUGAGGCCAAUAGCGGAUACAGCUCUCACGCUGGAGUGCCGAGAGCUGGAAACGUCCCGGCGCUGUAGGAUGUGGCUGCGGCCGAUUAGGUAGAUGGUGGGGUAACGGCCCACCAUGCCCAUAAUCGGUACAGGUUGUGAGAGCAAGAGCCUGGAGACGGUAUCUGAGACAAGAUACCGGGCCCUACGGGGCGCAGCAGGCGCGAAACCUUUACACUGCACGACAGUGCGAUAAGGGGACUCCGAGUGCGAGGGCAUAUAGUCCUCGCUUUUCUGUACCGUAGGGAGGUACAGGAACAAGUGCUGGGCAAGACCGGUGCCAGCCGCCGCGGUAAUACCGGCAGCACGAGUGAUGGCCGAUCUUAUUGGGCCUAAAGCGUCCGUAGCCGGCCGGACAAGUCCGUUGGGAAAUCGACGCGCUCAACGCGUCGGCGUCCAGCGGAAACUGUUCGGCUUGGGGCCGGAAGACCUGGGGGGUACGUCCGGGGUAGGAGUGAAAUCCUGUAAUCCUGGACGGACCACCAAUGGCGAAAGCACCUCAGGAAGACGGACCCGACGGUGAGGGACGAAAGCUAGGGUCUCGAACCGGAUUAGAUACCCGGGUAGUCCUAGCUGUAAACGAUGCUCGCUAGGUGUGCCGCAGGCUACGAGCCUGCGCUGCGCCCUAGGGAAGCCGAGAAGCGAGCCGCCUGGGAAGUACGUCUGCAAGGAUGAAACUUAAAGGAAUUGGCGGGGGAGCACCACAACCGGAGGAGCCUGCGGUUUAAUUGGACUCAACGCCGGACAUCUCACCGGUCCCGACAGUAGUAACGACGGUCAGGUUGACGACCU
This 967-nucleotide ribosomal RNA is filed under the name Haloarcula limicola. RNAcentral describes it as "bacterial SSU rRNA". It matches the Rfam family "Archaeal small subunit ribosomal RNA", at positions 1 to 968 of the family's 1478-position model. Lineage: Archaea; Methanobacteriati; Methanobacteriota; Halobacteria; Halobacteriales; Haloarculaceae. The record is from RNAcentral.